AACCUAACGACCUAGCCUUAUUUCUGCUGUUCUACACACUACAGCCAUCUGGGUGAAAAACAGAUUACUAAGUUGUGCUUACAAGACCAUUUAAAACCCCUUUUUUCCUUUGGGCUUGUGGCACCAUUUUUGCCAGUAGUUACUUUGUAGUACAGAAAUGGUCUUCCAAGUCCUUACUGUUGUUCAGAUGUCCUGUUGUUCAGAUAUAUUAUCUUCCUGAACAUUUUCCUGUGGGGUGUUACUGUUACAUUUAUUGGCCUUGUGAGCUGUUAACCAAUUUUCAUGAUAUUAACAAUAUCUCAACAUUUUGAUACAAGUACUUUUAGAAUGUUUCAGUAUGAAACAAUUAUAAUUGUUCAAGUCUAGCUGUUAAGUCUGCUGUUAAUUCUGUAUACAUAGAAACUGAGUCUGUGUUCAGAAUGUUGUUAUAGUUCCAACUGUAGGAUGAAAAAGCAAAUUAUGUGCUCAGAUUUAGCUCUGCCUUUUCUUGUUUUCUUUUGUUUGGAACUGCAUUUCAGAAUUCAACACUAGCAUAGUCUUUAAUAACCUGCUGCUGAUGUUUUUCUUUCCUAAUUAUUUGCCCCGAGGGCAUCCCACAAUUGUGUUAGUAGUUAUAUUCUGUACUUCUUUUCAUUGCACAGACUUGUAAGAUCAGAAUGGUUACCUGAAAGACAGUUGUAAAUCUGUGGAUUCCCGUAUACAAAAUAUUAACGCCAAGUGAAAAAGAGUACCUAUUGGAAGUAAACUACCCACUUUACAUUAAAUGACUCCAUAGAGGUGUCCAUCCUGAAACUAGAUGCUCUUCAAUUAUUAACCAUGUUAUUUACUUUAUUUCAAAAGCAGCUGUGUUUAUGAGUACUGAACAAAUGUGUAUACUUGCCUGUGCCAGACUUUUGACUUUGUUUUCAAGCACUGUACUGUGGGAUUGAGUGGCAGCUUUGUUAGAAGAAGUAUAUUAGGGUUUCUACUUAACCCUUUUAAGACUGAACCAUUUCUUUCCUUUAGAGUUUAUAAAGGAGCAGUUCUAACUUCAUAAAUGUUCUUUGUUCAACAUUGCAUUUGCCCCAUAUGGAGGUGCUAUGCUAAUAUCAUUUAAAAAAAUAAUAAUCCUGUAGCAUGUAUAUACAUUCAGUCUUAAAAGGGUUAUUUUUACAAACUGUGCACCUGUAAAGUUUCUUAGCAAUAAGGUAGAAAAAAUGAGCAAGUUUUUACCAUAAUUUUGUAGAGUGAACUGCUCAGUUCCAUAUUUCAUCAAGAAAAAAACCCUGCAAUAUGGGCAGUUUUGAGGUUUAAAUAAAAGUGAAAUGUAAACCACGUAAGUGUUUUUUGUCAAUUGUACUGUGUGUGUAUAUGUGCAUAUAAUAUCAGGCUGCAUUUUUUCUACAAGGCUAACGAUAAAAUGCCAUGUUACUAUUGAUGUGACAAACCUAAUUGAACAUCUGUAUGAUGAUUCCGUCAAAAAGUAGCUAUGAUUGAUCACCUGUUGAACCUUUGCCACGUUUUUGUGGGCCUUUUUUCCAAUUUUGACUAAGGAGUGUGUUUGUUUCGGGGUUUCUUGUUGCAAAGGAACAGUGAGGUCAUCCGUGGAACCAGAACGACGCAAAAGAAGACCAAGCCCAGGAGUGGAAAAGUCAUCAGUAGUUGUGAGGCUAUGCACACUGGACUCCACUUAAACGGGAUAUGGAAUGUCCACCCAAAAAGCUGGCUUCCAAAUCUGAGUCUGUUUCGUUAUGGCUUGUAUAAUUGCUGGAGUUAGAUAAGAAACUGUUUUUUUUUUUUCCAAUAAUGUAACAAAACAAAAGUUCACUUUUUUAUAUUAUUUAUUAAAUAAGAAAAAAA
This is a long non-coding RNA of Gallus gallus (chicken), 1839 nucleotides long. Lineage: Eukaryota; Metazoa; Chordata; Aves; Galliformes; Phasianidae. The record is from Ensembl.